GCAGCGAGGGACCGGCGGCAGGGAACAGCCACCGCCAUUCGAGGCGCGCGCUCGCUCGCGUGCGCGUAUAUGUGCAAAGGAGCGACGGCCGAUGGCUAAUCCCGGGGAGAAGUGAGCGUGCUCUCCCUUCCCACGAGGAGGAAGGAGAUGGUCAGUUUAGCGAUGACUCAUGAGUACCUCCUUAAGGAAUUGUGCUUUCCACCGCUUGCCAAAUUGCCUUGCAGCUCCUUUCCCCACCUCCUGUGUUUUUGUUUGAGUAAAUCCAGAUUUGGAUAGAAGCUAAAAUAUUUUAAUUUGAAUGCAUGCAUCUUAUGGCGGAUUCUUGAUGCCUCUGUGUGUGGCAUAAUUCCCUUUCUGCAGAAUUUAAUGUAAAGUUUUAAAACCAUGAAGAAAAGAAGGUGAAUUAACUGUUAAGCACUCGAUUUAAAAUAAAUCCACUUACAAAUUGUCA
Molecule: non-coding RNA, 451 nt
Organism: Pantherophis guttatus
Lineage: Eukaryota; Metazoa; Chordata; Lepidosauria; Squamata; Colubridae
Source: RefSeq, a predicted model, not a curated record